This is a long non-coding RNA of Quercus robur (English oak), 1079 nucleotides long. RefSeq lists it as uncharacterized. The transcript is spliced from 3 exons. The record is from RefSeq and is a predicted model, not a curated record. NCBI's taxonomy places the organism in Eukaryota, Viridiplantae, Streptophyta, Magnoliopsida, Fagales, Fagaceae.
AACAAAACCCCCAGCUCCUAAAUCUUGUGCAGAGUAAACCUAAGGGGGAGAGAAAGAACAAAGAGGCGAAGAAGAAAGAUGACCCAGAAAGCAAAUCUAUUCAAAGGUCAACAGAAGAAGAAAUCUGUUCCUCCCAACCGCCAUGGCAAACCUUCUGUCACCCGCAAAGGGAAGAGAUUUGUGAAGCCGGCCAAAGUCACCAAGGAGAUGGAUGUUGAUCGUGUCUAGAGAGUUGAAUGUAAGAAAAUUCCCAACAAAUCGCUUUGUAAUUUAUGCCCACCACAACAUUUAGUUUAGUCCCUUGCAAACAACGGUUUCUUGCAUCUAUUAUUUUAUUUUUUGUAUGUUUGUUGGAAAUUUAUUUUAAGGACAUUGUAAUAUAUAAUUAGAUUUUGUGAGAAUAGUUUCAUAUUUUUUCGCAUACUCGAACAGCUGUCUCCCUCAAUUACACAAACCCAUCACUUUUUAGUUUUCACCUCCUCCUAUUCUGCAAAUCCAUUGCUUUUCACCCAUUAAUAAAUUUGUCAAGUUUUAUUUGCUUCUGCUAUUUCUAUCCGCCCUCUUCCUUUUCUUUGUAAACAGAAUAAUUACCCAUUUAUUUCCUCUUUGUGUCUCUCCCUUCUCAAAAUUCAAUCAAAACCAACAUCUUCCAACCCAAGCCCAAAGUCUCUAGCAUCAUUGCAUGUUUGAUUAUUUUUACCAUUAUUUUUGUUCUAUAUCUUUUUAGCCACUUUAUUGUAAUAGGAAGAUCAUCUGGAAUGUGCAAUGUAAGUGGACUCAUAUUCUUAGGGAGAGGAACAAUAUGGCCUUCUUUAGUAGAAAGCUUGCACUUAGAGAGACAAAUUAUGCAGCAAUAUAUAUUAGUUUCAUUUGCAAAUUGCUUUUUUCAUAAUGUUGUUGCUCUCCAUAUACAGCCACAUAUGUAUAUGUUUACUUUGCUUGAUGAAAGUCAUUAUCCUUAGGCUGUUUUCUUAUAUUUGUUACCGUUGUAAUAAUUAACUGGAAUUUUAUUUCUUUCUACAGAUUAAAGCCCAAAACAAACUAUUUGCUUCUCUUCAAAGUUAAGUGCUUUGCUUGAU